UAGCCUGGGCAGCAGCAGGACAACCAUGGAGCUUCUGACUGGGACUGGCCUGUGGCCUGUGGCCAUAUUUACAGUCAUCUUCAUAAUUACUGGUGGACCUGAUGUACUGGUGUCAGCACUGGACUUCUCGAUACCCACUGGGCCCUGUGCCAUGGCCUGUGCUGGGUAACCUGCUGCAGGUGGACCUAGAUAACCUGGUGUACAGUCUGUACAAGCUUCAAUAUCGCUAUGGUGAUGUGUUCAGCCUGCAGAUGGCCUGGAACCCUGUGGUCAUGAUUAACAGACUGAAGAUGGUGCAGGAACUGCUGGUGACCUGUGGAGAGGCCACUGCUGACUGACCUGAAAUACUCAGCUUUCCACCCCAGGCUAUAGCCAAAAAUGUACCUGGAGGUGUGAUUCUUGCACCUUAUGGGCCUAAGUGGAGAGAGCAGAAGUGAUUCUCUGUGUCCACCCUGUGCAACUUUGGACUAGGCAAGAAAUCUCGUGAGCAAUGGGUGACGGAGGAGGCUGGUCACCUUUGUGAUGCAUUCACCACCCAGGCUGGGAGUCUCCUCAAUCCUUACCCUCUCCUGGACAAAGCUGUGUGCAAUGUGAUUGCCUCUCUCAUUUAUGCUGGUCGCUUCGAGUAUGGAGACCCAGACUUGAUCGAGAUUCUAAAAGUUAUGAAAGAAAACAUGAGGAAGGAAAUUGGUUUGAUCCCUGAGUUCUGAAGACAUUCCCAAUUCUCACACAUCCCAGGGUUGGCUGGCAAAGUCUUCCCUGGGCAAAAGACAUUCCUCACCAUGGUGGAUAAGCUGGCGACUGAGCACAAGAGGACCUGGGAUGCUGACCAGCCACCUUGAGACUACCUCACUGAUGCCUUUCUGGAUGAGAUGGAGAAGGCAACAGGAAACCUCAAGAGUAGCUUCAAGGAUGAAAAUCUACAUCUGGUUGUCCUUGACCUGUUUGGUGCUGGGAUUGUGACCACUCCAAUCACUGUGACCUGGGCCCUGCUGCUCAUGAUCCUGCAUCUGGAUGUGCGGUGCAGAGUACAACAGAAAAUUGAUGAGGUCAUAGGCAGAGCUCUGCACCCCCAGAUGGCAGACCAGGCCCGCAUGCCCUACACUAAUGCUGCCAUCCAUGAGGUGCAACGCUUUGCAGACAUUGUCCUAAUGAACUUGCCACACAAGACUUCUUGUGACAUUGAAGUGGAGGGCUUCCUUAUCCCCAAGGGGACGACCAUCAUCCCCAACCUGUCCUCCAUGCUGAAGGAUGAGACUGUCUGGGAGCAGCCCCUCCGCUUCCAUCCUGAACACUUCCUGGAUGCCCAGAGCCACUUUGUGAAGCAUGAGGCCUUCAUGCCAUUCUCAGCAGGCCACCGAGCAUGCCUGGGGGAGCCCCUGUCCCACAUGGAGCUCUUCCUCUUCUUCACCUGCCUCCUGCAGAAUUUUAGUUUCUCAUUGCCAGCAGGAAAGUCCAGGCCCAGUGACCAUGGUAUCCAUGUAUUGCCAGUUACUCCAGAACCCUACCAGCUCUGUGCAAAAACUCGCUAG
Molecule: non-coding RNA, 1532 nt
Organism: Arvicanthis niloticus (Nile rat)
Lineage: Eukaryota; Metazoa; Chordata; Mammalia; Rodentia; Muridae
Source: RefSeq, a predicted model, not a curated record